This 1452-nucleotide ribosomal RNA is filed under the name Staphylococcus aureus. RNAcentral describes it as "bacterial SSU rRNA". It matches the Rfam family "Bacterial small subunit ribosomal RNA". Lineage: Bacteria; Bacillati; Bacillota; Bacilli; Caryophanales; Staphylococcaceae. The record is from RNAcentral.
UUAUGAGGUGCUAAUACAUGCAAGUCGAGCGAACGGACGAGAAGCUUGCUUCUCUGAUGUUAGCGGCGGACGGGUGAGUAACACGUGGAUAACCUACCUAUAAGACUGGGAUAACUUCGGGAAACCGGAGCUAAUACCGGAUAAUAUUUUGAACCGCAUGGUUCAAAAGUGAAAGACGGUCUUGCUGUCACUUAUAGAUGGAUCCGCGCUGCAUUAGCUAGUUGGUAAGGUAACGGCUUACCAAGGCAACGAUGCAUAGCCGACCUGAGAGGGUGAUCGGCCACACUGGAACUGAGACACGGUCCAGACUCCUACGGGAGGCAGCAGUAGGGAAUCUUCCGCAAUGGGCGAAAGCCUGACGGAGCAACGCCGCGUGAGUGAUGAAGGUCUUCGGAUCGUAAAACUCUGUUAUUAGGGAAGAACAUAUGUGUAAGUAACUGUGCACAUCUUGACGGUACCUAAUCAGAAAGCCACGGCUAACUACGUGCCAGCAGCCGCGGUAAUACGUAGGUGGCAAGCGUUAUCCGGAAUUAUUGGGCGUAAAGCGCGCGUAGGCGGUUUUUUAAGUCUGAUGUGAAAGCCCACGGCUCAACCGUGGAGGGUCAUUGGAAACUGGAAAACUUGAGUGCAGAAGAGGAAAGUGGAAUUCCAUGUGUAGCGGUGAAAUGCGCAGAGAUAUGGAGGAACACCAGUGGCGAAGGCGACUUUCUGGUCUGUAACUGACGCUGAUGUGCGAAAGCGUGGGGAUCAAACAGGAUUAGAUACCCUGGUAGUCCACGCCGUAAACGAUGAGUGCUAAGUGUUAGGGGGUUUCCGCCCUCUUAGUGCUGCAGCUAACGCAUUAAGCACUCCGCCUGGGGAGUACGACCGCAAGGUUGAAACUCAAAGGAAUUGACGGGGACCCGCACAAGCGGUGGAGCAUGUGGUUUAAUUCGAAGCAACGCGAAGAACCUUACCAAAUCUUGACAUCCUUUGACAACUCUAGAGAUAGAGCUUUCCCCUUCGGGGGACAAAGUGACAGGUGGUGCAUGGUUGUCGUCAGCUCGUGUCGUGAGAUGUUGGGUUAAGUCCCGCAACGAGCGCAACCCUUAAGCUUAGUUGCCAUCAUUAAGUUGGGCACUCUAAGUUGACUGCCGGUGACAAACCGGAGGAAGGUGGGGAUGACGUCAAAUCAUCAUGCCCCUUAUGAUUUGGGCUACACACGUGCUACAAUGGACAAUACAAAGGGCAGCGAAACCGCGAGGUCAAGCAAAUCCCAUAAAGUUGUUCUCAGUUCGGAUUGUAGUCUGCAACUCGACUACAUGAAGCUGGAAUCGCUAGUAAUCGUAGAUCAGCAUGCUACGGUGAAUACGUUCCCGGGUCUUGUACACACCGCCCGUCACACCACGAGAGUUUGUAACACCCGAAGCCGGUGGAGUAACCUUUUAGGAGCUAGCCGUCGAAGGGACAAUC